RNAcentral lists this ribosomal RNA (1270 nucleotides) under Salmonella enterica. RNAcentral describes it as "partial 23S ribosomal RNA". It matches the Rfam family "Bacterial large subunit ribosomal RNA", at positions 1681 to 2925 of the family's 2925-position model. Lineage: Bacteria; Pseudomonadati; Pseudomonadota; Gammaproteobacteria; Enterobacterales; Enterobacteriaceae. The record is from RNAcentral.
CCAAGGCGCUUGAGAGAACUCGGGUGAAGGAACUAGGCAAAAUGGUGCCGUAACUUCGGGAGAAGGCACGCUGACACGUAGGUGAAGUGGUUUACCCAUGGAGCUGAAGUCAGUCGAAGAUACCAGCUGGCUGCAACUGUUUAUUAAAAACACAGCACUGUGCAAACACGAAAGUGGACGUAUACGGUGUGACGCCUGCCCGGUGCCGGAAGGUUAAUUGAUGGGGUCAGCGCAAGCGAAGCUCCUGAUCGAAGCCCCGGUAAACGGCGGCCGUAACUAUAACGGUCCUAAGGUAGCGAAAUUCCUUGUCGGGUAAGUUCCGACCUGCACGAAUGGCGUAAUGAUGGCCAGGCUGUCUCCACCCGGGACUCAGUGAAAUUGAACUCGCUGUGAAGAUGCAGUGUACCCGCGGCAAGACGGAAAGACCCCGUGAACCUUUACUAUAGCUUGACACUGAACACUGGUCCUUGAUGUGCAGGAUAGGUGGGAGGCUUUGAAGUGUGGACGCCAGUCUGCAUGGAGCCAUCCUUGAAAUACCACCCUUUAAUGGCUGGUGUUCUAACGUGGGCCCGUGAACCGGGUUGCGGACAGUGUCUGGUGGGUAGUUUGACUGGGGCGGUCUCCUCCUAAAGAGUAACGGAGGAGCACGAAGGUUGGCUAAUCCUGGUCGGACAUCAGGAGGUUAGUGCAAUGGCAUAAGCCAGCUUGACUGCGAGCGUGACGGCGCGAGCAGGUGCGAAAGCAGGUCAUAGUGAUCCGGUGGUUCUGAAUGGAAGGGCCAUCGCUCAACGGAUAAAAGGUACUCCGGGGAUAACAGGCUGAUACCGCCCAAGAGUUCAUAUCGACGGCGGUGUUUGGCACCUCGAUGUCGGCUCAUCACAUCCUGGGGCUGAAGUAGGUCCCAAGGGUAUGGCUGUUCGCCAUUUAAAGUGGUACGCGAGCUGGGUUUAGAACGUCGUGAGACAGUUCGGUCCCUAUCUGCCGUGGGCGCUGGAAGAUUGAGGGGGGCUGCUCCUAGUACGAGAGGACCGGAGUGGACGCAUCACUGGUGUUCGGGUUGUCAUGCCAAUGGCACUGCCCGGUAGCUACAUGCGGAAGAGAUAAGUGCUGAAAGCAUCUAAGCACGAAACUUGCCCCGAGAUGAAUCUUCCCUGAGCCUUUAAGGCUCCUGAAGGAACGUUGAAGACGACGACGUUGAUAGGCCGGGUGUGUAAGCGCAGCGAUGCGUUGAGCUAACCGGUACUAAUGAACCGUGAGGCUUAACCUUACA